RNAcentral lists this ribosomal RNA (867 nucleotides) under uncultured Bacillota bacterium. RNAcentral's name for it is "bacterial SSU rRNA". It matches the Rfam family "Bacterial small subunit ribosomal RNA", at positions 37 to 917 of the family's 1533-position model. Lineage: Bacteria; Bacillati; Bacillota. The record is from RNAcentral.
UGACGGCGCGCCUAACACAUGCUCGUCGAACGAGCGAGAGAGAGCUUGCUUUCUCGAGCGAGUGGCGAACGGGUGAGUAACGCGUGAGGAACCUGCCUCAAAGAGGGGGACAACAGUUGGAAACGACUGCUAAUGCCGCAUAAGCCCACGGCUCGGCAUCGAGCAGAGGGAAAAGGAGCAAUCCGCUUUGAGAUGGCCUCGCGUCCGAUUAGCUAGUUGGUGAGGUAACGGCCCACCAAGGCGACGAUCGGUAGCCGGACUGAGAGGUUGAACGGCCACAUUGGGACUGAGACACGGCCCAGACUCCUACGGGAGGCAGCAGUGGGGAAUAUUGCACAAUGGGGGAAACCCUGAUGCAGCGACGCCGCGUGGAGGAAGAAGGUCUUCGGAUUGUAAACUCCUGUUGUUGAGGAAGAUAAUGACGGUACUCAACAAGGAAGUGACGGCUAACUACGUGCCAGCAGCCGCGGUAAAACGUAGGUCACAAGCGUUGUCCGGAAUUACUGGGUGUAAAGGGAGCGCAGGCGGGAAGACAAGUUGGAAGUGAAAUCUAUGGGCUCAACCCAUAAACUGCUUUCAAAACUGUUUUUCUUGAGUAGUGCAGAGGUAGGCGGAAUUCCCGGUGUAGCGGUGGAAUGCGUAGAUAUCGGGAGGAACACCAGUGGCGAAGGCGGCCUACUGGGCACCAACUGACGCUGAGGCUCGAAAGUGUGGGUAGCAAACAGGAUUAGAUACCCUGGUAGUCCACACCGUAAACGAUGAUUACUAGGUGUUGGAGGAUUGACCCCUUCAGUGCCGCAGUUAACACAAUAAGUAAUCCACCUGGGGAGUACGACCGCAAGGUUGCAACUCAAAUGAAUUGACGGA